AUCUAAUUAGUAUAACUAAGUACCAUAAGUUUCCAACUUGAAAGUCUACCUAGAUUAGAUAAUAAUUUUCUCCUCGGUAUUUGUCUCCAUCCUAUUUUUAAUCGGAGGGGCCUUAACACUUGUCUCAAUAGCUAUCUCAGAAAAAUUUUACUUCGACCGCGAAAAAGAAUCACCAUUCGAGUGUGGAUU
RNAcentral lists this transfer RNA (189 nucleotides) under Proasellus margalefi. Its description in RNAcentral is "transfert RNA-G(GGA)". The record is from RNAcentral. Lineage: Eukaryota; Metazoa; Arthropoda; Malacostraca; Isopoda; Asellidae.